Molecule: long non-coding RNA, 881 nt
Filed under: Pan troglodytes (chimpanzee)
Lineage: Eukaryota; Metazoa; Chordata; Mammalia; Primates; Hominidae
Description: long non-coding RNA NONPTRT017626
Source: RNAcentral
AACCAGGAUCGGCUUCCAUUGCAGGGGACUGGCAGUGCAUCGGGCCUAUGUGUGGCCAGGUAAGACUGGGCAUAGGAGUGAAUGUUGGUUUGUUUGUUUUUUGACACAAGUCUCGCCCUAUCACCCAGGCUGGAGUGCAAUGGCAUGAUCUCGGCUCCCUGCAACCUCUGCCUCCCAGGUUCAAGUGAUUCUCAUGCCUCAGCCUCCCGAGUGGCUGGGAUUACAGACGCGCGCCACCAUGCCCAGGCUGGCUCUUCCAAUGGGCGUUAUGCACCUGGCACAGAGCAGCUGCUCAAUAAACCUGCAGAAUGAGAAUGAAUGUCUAUCGCUUGCACCAGACUGUAAGCUUUGUUAGAACAAAGAUUCUCUUCUGUUCAUCUUUUUAUUCUCAACAUCUUGCACAGAGCCUGCCAUAUGGCGGGGACAUGGAGGCCCACGGAGUACCUGGCAGGCCCACAGUCCACAGGUUGGAAAGAGGUGCCCAAGCCCUGGACUUUAAGCCUGGGCUCUGACCUUCAACGUUUGCUUUUCACACCACACAUCAUGUCAAUAAAUAGUUACUGGAUGCCUGUUGUGUGCCAGGCCCCAAGACGGGUGUUGCGUGACUGACAACAGAAAAAGCUUCUCAGUGGCGAGGGAUAAGCUAGAUCAUGGGCCUUAGUGUAAAUCGCCCAGGGUUCAAAUUCCAGCUUCUCCACUUCCUGGCUAUGAUUUUUUUUUUUUUUUAGACGGAGUCUUGCUCUGUUGCCCAGGCUGAAGUGCAGUGGCCCAAUCUCAGCUCACUGCAAGCUCUGCCUCCCAGGUUCACGCCAUUCUCCUGCCUCGGCCUCCCGAAUAGCUGGGACCACAGUCGCUCGCCACCACGCCCGGCUAUUUUUUUU